This is a long non-coding RNA of Rhopalosiphum maidis (corn leaf aphid), 336 nucleotides long. RefSeq lists it as uncharacterized. The record is from RefSeq and is a predicted model, not a curated record. Lineage: Eukaryota; Metazoa; Arthropoda; Insecta; Hemiptera; Aphididae. The transcript is spliced from 3 exons.
GUUUUUUUUAUUUUCACUUGGAUCCAAAUUUUUUUCAACUUUUAAUCCUCUUUUAUCUACUUUUAUUACUGCUGAUUUUUGAUGUUCUUCAGAAAUUUUACCAGUGGAGAAUAUUGGAAUUGUUCACAGUAAUAUAGUCAAAAAAGAGGGUUUUUCAGUUUUGAAGACAUCAAUAGUGCUGCAGAGGACAGAUUCGCUGAAUUGGAUAGAUUUUUUAAUGAGGGUUUGAAUUGUUUGAAAUCAUCAGAAUUCUUGGCUGGUUUCCCAAUUAUAAAAAAAAAUUUACUUACGUUAAAAUACAGAUCUACCUUCCAGUACAUUAGAUGAAAGACUAUU